This 253-nucleotide ribosomal RNA is filed under the name uncultured bacterium. Its description in RNAcentral is "partial 16S ribosomal RNA". It matches the Rfam family "Bacterial small subunit ribosomal RNA", at positions 524 to 776 of the family's 1533-position model. The record is from RNAcentral.
UACGGGGGGGGCAAGCGUUGUUCGGAAUUACUGGGCGUAAAGGGCUCGUAGGCGGCCCACUAAGUCAGAUGUGAAAUCCCCAGGCUCAACCUGGGAACUGCAUCUGAUACUGGUGGGCUUGAAUUCGGGAGAGGGAUGCAGAAUUCCAGGUGUAGCGGUGAAAUGCGUAGAUAUCUGGAGGAACACCGGUGGCGAAGGCGGCAUCCUGGACCAUUACUGACGCUGAGACGCGAAAGCGUGGGGAGCAAACAGG